Molecule: ribosomal RNA, 470 nt
Filed under: uncultured bacterium
Lineage: Bacteria
Description: bacterial SSU rRNA
Rfam family: Bacterial small subunit ribosomal RNA
Source: RNAcentral
GAUGAACGCUAGCUACAGGCUUAACACAUGCAAGUCGAGGGGUAGCACGGAGGAAGCUUGCUUCCUUGGGUGACGACCGGCGCACGGGUGAGUAACGCGUAUCCGACCUACCCAUAACACGGGCACAGCCGCUCGAAAGAGCGAUUGAUUCCCGAUAUGUCUUUGGAGUAUAUUCUUAGAUGAAAGAUUUAUCGGUCAUGGAUGGGGAUGCGUAGGAUUAGCUAGUUGGUGGGGUAACGGCCCACCAAGGCGACGAUCGGUAGCCGAACUGAGAGGUUGAUCGGCCGCAUUGGGACUGAGACACGGCCCAGACUCCUACGGGAGGCAGCAGUGGGGGAUAUUGCACAAUGGGGGAAACCCUGACCCAGCAACGCCGCGUGAAGGAAGAAAGGCCCUCGGGUUGUAAACUUCUUUUACCAGGGACGAAGAAAGUGACGGUACCUGGAGAAAAAGCAACGGCUAACUACGUG